This 519-nucleotide ribosomal RNA is filed under the name uncultured eukaryote. Its description in RNAcentral is "SSU rRNA". It matches the Rfam family "Eukaryotic small subunit ribosomal RNA", at positions 1161 to 1699 of the family's 1831-position model. The record is from RNAcentral.
AGGGCACCACCAGGAGUGGAGCCUGCGGCUUAAUUUGACUCAACACGGGAAAACUUACCCGGCCCGGACACUGGAAGGAUUGACAGAUUGAGAGCUCUUUCUUGAUUCAGUGGGUGGUGGUGCAUGGCCGUUCUUAGUUGGUGGAGCGAUUUGUCUGGUUAAUUCCGAUAACGAACGAGACUCUAGCCUACUAAAUAGAUCGUCGGCUUACAAACGCCGACGAGACUUCUUAGAGGGACAGGCGGUGAUUCAACCGCACGAAACAGAGCAAUAACAGGUCUGUGAUGCCCUUAGAUGUCCGGGGCCGCACGCGCGCUACACUGAAGUGAUCAGCGUGCUUUUUCAACCUACUCUGUCAAGAGUGGGGAACCCAAUGAACCUUCUUCGUGAUUGGGAUAGGGGAUUGUAAUUAUUCCCCUUGAACGAGGAAUUCCCAGUAAGCGCGAGUCAUAAGCUCGCGUUGAUUACGUCCCUGCCCUUUGUACACACCGCCCGUCGCUACUACCGAUUGAAUGUUUU